RNAcentral lists this ribosomal RNA (425 nucleotides) under uncultured Campylobacterota bacterium. RNAcentral's name for it is "bacterial LSU rRNA". It matches the Rfam family "Bacterial large subunit ribosomal RNA", at positions 1369 to 1799 of the family's 2925-position model. Lineage: Bacteria; Pseudomonadati; Campylobacterota. The record is from RNAcentral.
UCAUCGUAGGGUUAGUCGGGACCUAAGUCGAGUCCGAAAGGGGUAGACGAUGGCAAAUUGAUUAAUAUUUCAACACCAACAUAUAAGCGCGAUGUGGGGACGCAUAGAGUUAAUCGAGCUCACUGAUGGAAUAGUGGGUCGAAGGAUGUAGGUUGUAUCUUAGGCAAAUCCGGGAUACAUGAGACCGGGAUCUUACAGGCUCUUGACGCUCUUCGGAGAGGAAAGAGAAUCGAUGAUACUGUCGUGCCAAGAAAAGCCACUAAGUAUAUUAUAUGUUGCCCGUACCGUAAACCGACACAGGUGGGUGGGAUGAGUAUUCUAAGGCGCGUGGAAGAACCCUGGUUAAGGAACUCUGCAAACUAGCACCGUAUCUUCGGUAUAAGGUGUGCUUUCUUCGGAAAGUCUCAGCAAAGAGUCCCUCCCGA